GAGGUGGUGUGGCCGAGUGGUUUAGGGCGCUGGAUUUGAAAUCUGGAGGUCCCUAUCACUUCAAAUCCUCUAUCCUACCACUAGCUGGAUUUGUUCUCAGUAGUCCCAAGUUCAACUCCUUGGUCCCGCUUCG
Desmophyllum pertusum is the source of this 133-nucleotide non-coding RNA. Lineage: Eukaryota; Metazoa; Cnidaria; Anthozoa; Scleractinia; Caryophylliidae. The record is from the annotation of a GenBank genome assembly.